Molecule: non-coding RNA, 107 nt
Organism: Gossypium hirsutum (cotton)
Lineage: Eukaryota; Viridiplantae; Streptophyta; Magnoliopsida; Malvales; Malvaceae
Source: Rfam
AUGUCAUGAUGAAGACAUUUUUGCAACAGCUUCUUGAAUCUCUCCCAUGCAUCAUAGAGAGAUUCUUUCUUGAGUUGCUGAAACGUUACGAUUUCAUUUUUGAGCUU